CUGUACCCACAAUCCGCUACAGUGGGGUCGAAUUCCCUCCCAAGGUCUUAUUUCUGUAGGGUCUGACUUCGAUAAGUGAUGAAGAAAGCUGGGUCCUGCGCAAUGAAAACUUUCGAAACCCGUCAGGUCCGGGAGGAAGCAGCGGUAAGGGAGCACUUUCAUGUGCCGCAGGGCAGCCUGGCCGGAGUUAACUGUCGGAGUAACGCCUGGAGGGAUAGAUCGACGGAGGGUGCACGG
This 237-nucleotide signal recognition particle RNA is filed under the name Thermoanaerobacterales bacterium. RNAcentral's name for it is "partial signal recognition particle sRNA large type". It matches the Rfam family "Bacterial large signal recognition particle RNA", at positions 29 to 256 of the family's 256-position model. Rfam says of the family: The signal recognition particle (SRP) is a universally conserved ribonucleoprotein involved in the co-translational targeting of proteins to membranes. Archaeal SRP consists of a 7S RNA and homologues of the eukaryotic SRP19 and SRP54 proteins. Lineage: Bacteria; Bacillati; Bacillota; Clostridia; Thermoanaerobacterales. The record is from RNAcentral.